RNAcentral lists this ribosomal RNA (120 nucleotides) under uncultured Rhizobiales bacterium HF4000_48A13. Lineage: Bacteria; Pseudomonadati; Pseudomonadota; Alphaproteobacteria; Hyphomicrobiales. The record is from RNAcentral.
CGGCCUGGUGGUUAUAGCGAGGAGCCCACACCCGAUCCCAUCCCGAACUCGGCCGUUAAAUUCCUCAGCGCCGAUGGUACUAUGUCUUAAGGCAUGGAAGAGUAGGUCGCUGCCAGGCCU